CAAGUGACAGAUAAUGAAAAAUGUCAAACAAAAGCGAAUAUUUGCUCGAAAAAACGCUUUUGGACAGAUUACAACCGCACCAAGUCGACUUAUUCCACUUGACGGAGUUAUCCGGUUUAAAUAUCAACCCUCAAAUCGUCUGCAUACUGAUUCAAAUGUUAAACAUGAAGAUUACACCCGAGGCUAUCUUCAGGUUGCUGCAGUCAAUUAAGAGGACUAAAAAGUCUAGGUCCGUUAAACAUUCGUACAGCAGCAAUUCUUCAAACUAAAUGUGCACUGUUUUAAUUUGUUUUCCCAUGUCCUCAUUAGAAUGUAAUUGAUAUCAUCAUCAGUAUAGAUAGGACUUUAGCUGUAGCACAUUAUGUGCAUGUAUUAACUAUAAAAAUAAAAGAAUUUUGAGUUUG
Photinus pyralis (common eastern firefly) is the source of this 404-nucleotide long non-coding RNA. RefSeq lists it as uncharacterized. The record is from RefSeq and is a predicted model, not a curated record. The transcript is spliced from 2 exons. NCBI's taxonomy places the organism in Eukaryota, Metazoa, Arthropoda, Insecta, Coleoptera, Lampyridae.